UACGGAGGGGGCUAGCGUUGUUCGGAUUCAUUGGGCGUAAAGGGUGCGUAGGUGGCGGGGUAAGUCAGGUGUGAAAUCUCGAGGCUCAACCUCGAAACUGCACUUGAUACUGCCUUGCUGGAGUACUGGAGAGGAGAUUGGAAUUUACGGUGUAGCAGUGAAAUGCGUAGAUAUCGUAAGGAAGACCAGUGGCGAAGGCGAAUCUCUGGACAGUUACUGACACUGAGGCACGAAGGCCAGGGGAGCAAACGGG
This 253-nucleotide ribosomal RNA is filed under the name uncultured bacterium. Its description in RNAcentral is "partial 16S ribosomal RNA". It matches the Rfam family "Bacterial small subunit ribosomal RNA", at positions 524 to 776 of the family's 1533-position model. The record is from RNAcentral.